Molecule: transfer RNA, 84 nt
Filed under: Candidatus Vogelbacteria bacterium
Lineage: Bacteria; Candidatus Vogeliibacteriota
Description: tRNA-Leu
Rfam family: tRNA
About the family: Transfer RNA (tRNA) molecules are approximately 80 nucleotides in length. Their secondary structure includes four short double-helical elements and three loops (D, anti-codon, and T loops).
Source: RNAcentral
GCGCAGGUGGUGAAAUUGGUAGACACGCUAGCCUUAGGAGCUAGAGCCCGCAAGGGUGUGGAGGUUCGAGUCCUCUCCUGCGCA